UGCCCGAUGCCACGUCGAUGAUAGCUUUUUCUGGCUAUGAUCUUCGAUGCUAUGAAUUGGGCACAUAUCAAAGGGGAUUAGUUUCUCUUAUUCGCAUUUUGAUAGGAACCUGUGGAUCUCAAUUUUCCAUUAGUCCACAGAGCCGGUUUUUGCGAUUACAUCU
Molecule: small nucleolar RNA, 163 nt
Filed under: Amborella trichopoda
Lineage: Eukaryota; Viridiplantae; Streptophyta; Magnoliopsida; Amborellales; Amborellaceae
Description: Small nucleolar RNA snoR2/U65
Rfam family: Small nucleolar RNA snoR2/U65
Source: Rfam by way of RNAcentral